GGUCAAGUUACUAAGGGCACACGGUGGAUGCCUUGGCAGUCGAACCGAUGAAGGACGUGGCUACCUGCGAUAAGCCUCGGGAAGCUGGAAGCAAGCGUAGAUCCGAGGAUCUCCGAAUGGGGAAACCCAGUGGGGCGAACCCCCACUACCCUUGACUGAAUACAUAGGUCAUGUGGAGGGAACCCAGGGAACUGAAACAUCUAAGUACCUGGAGGAAAAUAAAGAAACCUCGAUUCCCCCAGUAGCGGCGAGCGAAAAGGGAACAGCCUAAACCGACUCCUACGGGAGCCGGGGUCGUAGGACCGGCAACAUGGACUCGAGCGUAUAGCGGAAGCGCACUGGAAAGGCGCGCCAUAGCGGGUGAUAGCCCCGUACGCGAAAUGCGCGGAAGCCUAGCCGGCACCUGAGUAGCGCGAGUCACGUGGAACCUCGCGUGAAUCCACGGGGACCACCCCGUAAGGCUAAAUAUUCCGACUGACCGAUAGCGAACAAGUACCGUGAGGGAAAGGUGAAAAGCACCCCGUGAGGGGAGUGAAAUAGUACCUGAAACCGUGUGCUUACAAGCAGUCACAGCCCUAUGCGUACCUUCGGGUACGAACGGGUAGUGGCGUGCCUCUUGAAGCAUGAUCCUGCGACUUACUGGUAGUGCCGAGUUUAAGCCGAUAGGCGGAGGCGUAGCGAAAGCGAGUCUGAACAGGGCGUUCAGGCGCUAUCAGUAGACCCGAAACCGGAUGAGCUAGCCAUGGCCAGGUUGAAGCUUCCGUAAAAGGAAGUGGAGGACCGAACCCGUUGAGGUUUAAAACUCUUGGGAUGAGCUGUGGUUAGGAGUGAAAAGCUAACCGAAUCCGGAGAUAGCUGGUUCUCCCCGAAAUAGUUUUAGGACUAGCCUCGGGGGUUCACCGAUGGUUGUAAAGCACUGAUUGGGCUAGGGGGCUCACCAGCUUACCAAACCCUGUCAAACUCUGAAGGCCGUCGGUUCAUACCCCGGGAGUCAGUCUGCGUGAGCUAACUUUCGCAGACAAGAGGGAAACAACCCAGAACGCCAGUUAAGGUCCCCAAGUCAUGGCUAAGUGGUAAAGGAUGUGGAGACGCUAGAACAGCUAGGAGGUUGGCUUAGAAGCAGCCAUUCCUUUAAAGAGUGCGUAAUAGCUCACUAGUCGAGCGUCUCUGCGCCGAAGAUGAUCGGGGCUAAGCCAUGCACCGAAACUGCGUCAGUGCAACUAAGUUGCGCUGGGUAGGGGAGCGUUCCGUAAGCCGUUGAAGCGGUACCGCAAGGAGCCGUGGAGGUAUCGGAAGUGCGAAUGCAGGAAUUAGUAACGAUAAGAAGGGUGAGAAUCCCUUCCGCCGAAAGCCUAAGGGUUCCUGAGCAAGGGUCGUCCUCUCAGGGUUAGGCGGGACCUAAGGCGAGGCCGAAAGGCGUAGUCGAUGGACAGCAGGUCAACAUUCCUGCCCCGCCGUCGUGGAGUGAUGGGGUGACGCAUUAGGAUAGGCCAUCCGGAGCUAUGGCUAUGCCCGGCGGCGUGCGAAGUCUGGAGGGACAGGAAAAUCCGCCCUCCGCGUAGAUGACGUACGUCGGGAAGGUCCUACGGGACUGAUAACUGGUUGAAUCCACGGUGCCAAGAAAAACCUCUAAACGUUGAAGCGAUGGCGCCCGUACCAAAACCGACACAGGUAGGCGAGUGUAAGAGCACUAAGGCGCGCGAGAGAACCCUGGUUAAGGAACUCUGCAAAAUAGCCCCGUAACUUCGGGAGAAGGGGUCCCACGUGUAAGGUUGUCAGUGAUGAUCGCCUGAGGUGGGCGCAGUGAAUUGGCUCUAGCGACUGUUUACCACAAUCACAGCACUCUGCUAACCCUUAUAGGGGAUGUAUAGGGUGUGACACCUGCCCGGUGCUGGAAGGUCAACGGGAGGCGUGAAAGCGCUGAACUGAAGCCCCAGUGAACGGCGGCCGUAACUAUAACGGUCCUAAGGUUAACUUAACGCUAGCUUUAGUAAAACCAAACUAUAUGCGGGAAACUCCUCAAAAGCCGCGCGGUACUAGUGGGUCCGAGGACGCCACAGUAACAAUCCGCCGGAUACGUGGACAAUCCGCAGGGAAGGCUUGGAGUGUCCUUCACGCCAAGAACCCUCAGAGACUAUACGUUUGGGGUCGACUCCCCCGGACGAGACGCAUGAAACUCGAAGCUCAAUGGAUAGCCGGCUUCGUCGAUGGCGAAGGCUGUUUUCACGUCGGGAUAGCCAAGCACGACGAGAUGACGAUGGGAGUGCAAGUGCUCCCGGAGUUCACGGUCGUCCAACACGAGCGGGACGCCCAACUGCUGCACGCCCUGAAGGCGUACUUCGGUUGCGGAGUGGUGCGACGGAAUCACGGAGACCGGCUUGCGUAUCGCGUUCGCGAUCGCAAAUGCCUCCGCGAAGUGAUCCUUCCGUUCUUCAUGAAACACCAGUUGAAGACAACCAAGAACAUCGAGUUCUUGAAGUUCAGACGGGUGAUUCUGGCGAUGGAAGACGGGAUGCACCUAACGCAAGAGGGCCUCGAGGAGAUCAAGCGUAUCGCCGAGGGCAUGAACCGCGGUCGACCAAGAUAGAGUCCGGCCCUCCUGGAAACAGGACGGGGGAAUUCCGAGCGAAAUUCCUUGUCAGGUAAGUUCUGACCUGCACGAAUGGUGUAACGACUGGAGCGCUGUCUCAACCAGGGACUCGGUGAAAUUGAAUUGGCUGUAUAGAUGCGGCCUACCCGCAGCAGGACGAAAAGACCCCGUGGAGCUUUACUACAGCUUGAUGUUGAUGCUUGGACUGUUCUGUGUAGGAUAGGUGGGAGACUGUGAAGCCGGGCCGCUAGGCUCGGUGGAGUCAACGGUGAAAUACCACCCUGAAUGGUUCGAUCGUCUAACCUGCACCCGUUAUCCGGGUGGGGAACAGCGUUAGGUGGGUAGUUUGACUGGGGCGGUCGCCUCCUAAAUCGUAACGGAGGCGCGCAAAGGUUCCCUCAGCACGGUCGGAAAUCGUGCGUAGAGCGCAAGGGUAUAAGGGAGCUUGACUGCGAGACGUACAUGUCGAGCAGGCACGAAAGUGGGCCCUAGUGAACCGGUGGUACCUUGUGGAAGGGCCAUCGAUCAACGGAUAAAAGUUACCCCGGGGAUAACAGGCUGAUACCGCCCGAGAGUUCACAUCGGCGGCGGUGUUUGGCACCUCGAUGUCGGCUCGUCAUAUCCUGGGGCUGGAGAAGGUCCCAAGGGUCCGGCUGUUCGCCGGUUAAAAUGGCACGCGAGCUGGGUUCAGAACGUCGUGAGACAGUUCGGUCUCUAUCCGCUGUGGGCGUAGGAAAGUUGAGGAGAGCUGCUCCUAGUACGAGAGGACCGGAGUGGACGCACCUCUAGUGUCUUAGCUGUCGUACCAGCGGCACAUGCUAAGUAGCUACGUGCGGAACGGAUAAGCGCUGAAAGCAUCUAAGCGCGAAGCCGACUCCAAGAUGAGCUUUCCCAUCCCGUAAGGGAGUAAGACCCCCGGAAGACCACCGGGUUGAUAGGCUGGGAGUGUAAGUGCGGCAACGUACUUAGCUGACCAGUACUAAUCGGUCGAGGACUUGACCAUUU
RNAcentral lists this ribosomal RNA (3595 nucleotides) under Trueperaceae bacterium. Its description in RNAcentral is "23S ribosomal RNA". It matches the Rfam family "Bacterial large subunit ribosomal RNA". Lineage: Bacteria; Thermotogati; Deinococcota; Deinococci; Trueperales; Trueperaceae. The record is from RNAcentral.